GCAGCCCUCUAGCUCAGUGGCUAGAGCGUUGGUCUCGUAAACCAAAGGUCGCAAGUUCGAAUUUUGUUGGUGGCA
This 75-nucleotide transfer RNA is filed under the name Trichonephila inaurata madagascariensis. Its description in RNAcentral is "tRNA-Thr". It matches the Rfam family "tRNA". Rfam says of the family: Transfer RNA (tRNA) molecules are approximately 80 nucleotides in length. Their secondary structure includes four short double-helical elements and three loops (D, anti-codon, and T loops). Further hydrogen bonds mediate the characteristic L-shaped molecular structure. tRNAs have two regions of fundamental functional importance: the anti-codon, which is responsible for specific mRNA codon recognition, and the 3' end, to which the tRNAs corresponding amino acid is attached (by aminoacyl-tRNA synthetases). tRNAs cope with the degeneracy of the genetic code in two manners: having more than one tRNA (with a specific anti-codon) for a particular amino acid; and 'wobble' base-pairing, i.e. permitting non-standard base-pairing at the 3rd anti-codon position. The record is from RNAcentral. Lineage: Eukaryota; Metazoa; Arthropoda; Arachnida; Araneae; Nephilidae.